AGACCAGGCUGACCUUGACUCACAGAGAUCCGCCUGCCUCUGCCUCCUGAGUGCUGGGAUAAAGGUGUGUGCCACCACCGCCUGCCAGAGUUCAUAAUCUAGUAAAUACUCUUAAGCAGUCACUACAGGUCUCUUAAAAACAGUAGCUGGGGGCUGGAGACAUGGCUCAGAGGUUAAGAGCACUGACGCUCUUCCAGAGGUCCUGAGUUCAAGUCCCAGCACCCACAUGGUGGCUCACAACCAUCUUUAGUAAGAUCUGGUGCCCUUUUCUGACCUGCAGGCAUACACACAGACAGAACACUGCAUACAUAAUAAAUAAAUUAAUUAAAAAAAAAAAACAGUAGCUGGGGGUUGAACCCAAGCUACAACCACAGAAAGCCACAGAAUUGCUAUCAGGACAAAUGGUUGCUGUUUCAAGCUGCUGCAUUCCAGGGACAAUUUGUUACCUGCAGAUGCUGAUUAACACACACACACACACACACACACACACACACACACACACACACACACACACACCCGCAGAACUCAAGCUGGCAUGGCGCCAGAGAAUUAGCAACUAGCUCUAAUCCCCACUGGGCCGCACCUGGCCUAGCUCGGGAGAGUUAACACCUAUCCCCAAUCCAUCCUUUGUUGAGUGGAUACCUUUUGUCAGGGAGUUUCUCAAGGGCACAAAGCCUAUGGGAAACUUGGCUCAGGAAACCCAGAAAACUGUGGUACCGGUGAAUCCAGACUCUGCACUUGGCAUUGUGUUUUUGGAAGCCUCAUUCAAGUUGUUCAGAGUAUAUGAGCCGCCGAGUGGACUUCGACUGAGCCGCGUGAACCCAACACCCUUGGAUUCUGGGAAAGCCUCCGGCUUCUUGAAUGGACUCUGGCUAGCUCCAGCUCAAGCCCGGCGUGGACUAUGCCCUUCUCCGGAUUCCUUCUGCCUUGUUAAAAACCGAUCUUGUUCCUAAAGCUGCCACCAAGGUCUGGCACCUUAUUUGGCCACUUCCUCCUCCCGAGGCUGAUUACCAAGGUCCAGCUACCAAAGUAUUGAAGUCCAAUAACCCAAAGCUCCCUUUGGCUGUCCUAAUUAACAUGCCCAAUUAAAGUGAAUUAUCUUAUCCUAGCGUGGGGUUUCCCCUUUACCUUUAUAAACCACCAUUUACCUA
Mesocricetus auratus (golden hamster) is the source of this 1151-nucleotide long non-coding RNA. RefSeq lists it as uncharacterized. The record is from RefSeq and is a predicted model, not a curated record. NCBI's taxonomy places the organism in Eukaryota, Metazoa, Chordata, Mammalia, Rodentia, Cricetidae. The transcript is spliced from 2 exons.